ACCUAAUAUCCAUGGACGUCGCGUUAGAGAGAGAAGUCGAGAGAACGAAUGAGAUGGAACAUCGGAUGGAAGUCUGUCAACUCUCUUGAUUUAUUGCCCUAGAGAAAGAGAACAAUAUACAUCUCUUUCAACUCGAAGAGUUGAACGUUAAAUCGUUAUUUCAAAUUUGAAUUUAAAGCAAAGAAUUGUGAAUACUAGCUCUACAAAUUUUGCUACUUACGAAGGCAGUGUACUUUUAUUUUGAGAGAAUCUAGUAAAGAAGCCUCAAUAUCAUCUAUGCAGUUAUGGCAAAUUUAGAAUUUCUACAAAUAAUAAUAAUAAUAGGCAAAUAUUAUGGAGGUAAAUUUUUUAUGGCUGCUUUAAUCUAUUAAAUUUGAUUCUAUUCGAAAUAGAUUGAAAGGUGAAAUAGAUCAUGAGUUGGAGAAUGGAAUAGUAUAGAACCUCAAUGCUCAAUCCUAAUGGUAUUUCGAUAAUCAUGGAUGAAUGAAUGUUCUCUUUUAUCUAAUAAAAAUUUUCUGUAGCAUAAUUUUUCUACCUGAAGUAAAAGAAAUAUUACCAAUUCAAAAGAUGA
Long non-coding RNA from Harmonia axyridis, 571 nucleotides. RefSeq lists it as uncharacterized. The record is from RefSeq and is a predicted model, not a curated record. NCBI's taxonomy places the organism in Eukaryota, Metazoa, Arthropoda, Insecta, Coleoptera, Coccinellidae. The transcript has 2 exons.